Molecule: ribosomal RNA, 1488 nt
Filed under: Lactiplantibacillus plantarum
Lineage: Bacteria; Bacillati; Bacillota; Bacilli; Lactobacillales; Lactobacillaceae
Description: bacterial SSU rRNA
Rfam family: Bacterial small subunit ribosomal RNA
Source: RNAcentral
GACGAACGCUGGCGGCGUGCCUAAUACAUGCAAGUCGAACGAACUCUGGUAUUGAUUGGUGCUUGCAUCAUGAUUUACAUUUGAGUGAGUGGCGAACUGGUGAGUAACACGUGGGAAACCUGCCCAGAAGCGGGGGAUAACACCUGGAAACAGAUGCUAAUACCGCAUAACAACUUGGACCGCAUGGUCCGAGCUUGAAAGAUGGCUUCGGCUAUCACUUUUGGAAGGUCCCGCGGCGUAUUAGCUAGAUGGUGGGGUAACGGCUCACCAUGGCAAUGAUACGUAGCCGACCUGAGAGGGUAAUCGGCCACAUUGGGACUGAGACACGGCCCAAACUCCUACGGGAGGCAGCAGUAGGGAAUCUUCCACAAUGGACGAAAGUCUGAUGGAGCAACGCCGCGUGAGUGAAGAAGGGUUUCGGCUCGUAAAACUCUGUUGUUAAAGAAGAACAUAUCUGAGAGUAACUGUUCAGGUAUUGACGGUAUUUAACCAGAAAGCCACGGCUAACUACGUGCCAGCAGCCGCGGUAAUACGUAGGUGGCAAGCGUUGUCCGGAUUUAUUGGGCGUAAAGCGAGCGCAGGCGGUUUUUUAAGUCUGAUGUGAAAGCCUUCGGCUCAACCGAAGAAGUGCAUCGGAAACUGGGAAACUUGAGUGCAGAAGAGGACAGUGGAACUCCAUGUGUAGCGGUGAAAUGCGUAGAUAUAUGGAAGAACACCAGUGGCGAAGGCGGCUGUCUGGUCUGUAACUGACGCUGAGGCUCGAAAGUAUGGGUAGCAAACAGGAUUAGAUACCCUGGUAGUCCAUACCGUAAACGAUGAAUGCUAAGUGUUGGAGGGUUUCCGCCCUUCAGUGCUGCAGCUAACGCAUUAAGCAUUCCGCCUGGGGAGUACGGCCGCAAGGCUGAAACUCAAAGGAAUUGACGGGGGCCCGCACAAGCGGUGGAGCAUGUGGUUUAAUUCGAAGCUACGCGAAGAACCUUACCAGGUCUUGACAUACUAUGCAAAUCUAAGAGAUUAGACGUUCCCUUCGGGGACAUGGAUACAGGUGGUGCAUGGUUGUCGUCAGCUCGUGUCGUGAGAUGUUGGGUUAGUCCCGCAACGAGCGCAACCCUUAUUAUCAGUUGCCAGCAUUAAGUUGGGCACUCUGGUGAGACUGCCGGUGACAAACCGGAGGAAGGUGGGGAUGACGUCAAAUCAUCAUGCCCCUUAUGACCUGGGCUACACACGUGCUACAAUGGAUGGUACAACGAGUUGCGAACUCGCGAGAGUAAGCUAAUCUCUUAAAGCCAUUCUCAGUUCGGAUUGUAGGCUGCAACUCGCCUACAUGAAGUCGGAAUCGCUAGUAAUCGCGGAUCAGCAUGCCGCGGUGAAUACGUUCCCGGGCCUUGUACACACCGCCCGUCACACCAUGAGAGUUUGUAACACCCAAAGUCGGUGGGGUAACCUUUUAGGAACCAGCCGCCUAAGGUGGGACAGAUGAUUAGGGUG